This is a small nucleolar RNA of Cavia porcellus (domestic guinea pig), 102 nucleotides long. It matches the Rfam family "Small nucleolar RNA U13". NCBI's taxonomy places the organism in Eukaryota, Metazoa, Chordata, Mammalia, Rodentia, Caviidae. The record is from Rfam.
AUCCUUCGGUUCAUGAGUGUGAUGAUUGGCUGUUCAUGCCAUGUGUGUCAGAUGUGCCUCCCUCAAACCUUGUUACAACAUUGACACAUUACCCGUCUGAUG